This is a long non-coding RNA of Parus major (Great Tit), 1092 nucleotides long. Lineage: Eukaryota; Metazoa; Chordata; Aves; Passeriformes; Paridae. The record is from Ensembl.
AAUUUUGGGAUUUUCCUUGUCCCAUCCAGACUUUCCUGAUCCAAAAAUUCCGGGAUUUUUCGUGAUCCCUGUGGAUUUUCACGAUCCGAAAAUUCCGGGAUUUUCUGCAUCCUCUCCGAAUUCUCCUCAUCCAAAAAUUCCGGGAUUUUCCGUGUCCCAUCCAGCCUUUCUUUCCUCAUCCCAUCCGAAUUCUCCCGAUCCAAAAACCCCGGGAUUUUCCUCGUCCCAUCCGAAUUCUCCCGAUCCAAAAACCCGGGGAUUUUUCCCUCCCUCUCCACCCCCUCAUUCCCGCUCUCCCCCGUUUCUCUCCACCCGGGAUUUUGGGAUAUUCCCGUCGGGAUCUGCACCCCGAAGCUGUCGCGGCGGCCGCUGCGGAGGAGGACGAAGGGCUGGCCCCCGAUGCCCUGCACGCGCACGGCCACCCCGUACGAGCCCGUCCUGCCCCGCGGCGGCCGCGGCGGCUCCCCCAGCUCGUCGAUAAAUCGGAUCUGGACUCCGUGAUCCAUCCGUUUCUCCGCCAUGGGCUGCGGGAAGGAGGAAAAUCCGGGAUGAUCCCAAGGAAAAAUCGGGAUUUUGACGCGUUUUGAUUUUUUUUUUGCGGUUUUUGCGCUUUUUUUGAGCUUUUUUUGAGCUUUUUUGGCGUUUUCAGUGAUUUUUGAGGCGUUUUUUUAUUGGUUUUCACGCGUUUGUUCUCCACGUGGUUUUUUUCCCGUGUUUUACCCUCAGUUUUUCCCGUUUUGCCUGGUUUUUCUCCCAGUUUUUCUCCCCAAAUCCCAGGAACCCCAAAUCCCGGGAAUCCCCACAAAUCCCGGGAAUCCCAAAUCCCAGGGACCCCAAAUCCCGGGGACCCCAAAUCCCAGGAACCCCAAAUCCCAGGAAUCCCAAAUCCCAGGAAUCCCAGAAUUCCUGAAUCCUCCCCAAAUCCCAGGAAUCCCAAAUCCCGGGAACCCCAAAUCCCUGGGAAUCCCAAAUCCCAAGAAUCCCAAACCCUGGGAACCCCAAAUCCCAGGAACCCCAAAUCCCAGGAAUCCCAGAAUUCCUGAACCCUCCCCAAAUCCAAGGAAUCCCAAAUCCCAGGAACUCCAAAUCCCA